RNAcentral lists this ribosomal RNA (662 nucleotides) under uncultured Leptotrichia sp. RNAcentral's name for it is "bacterial SSU rRNA". It matches the Rfam family "Bacterial small subunit ribosomal RNA", at positions 28 to 706 of the family's 1533-position model. Lineage: Bacteria; Fusobacteriati; Fusobacteriota; Fusobacteriia; Fusobacteriales; Leptotrichiaceae. The record is from RNAcentral.
GAUGAACGCUGACAGAAUGCUUAACACAUGCAAGUCGAUGGGGAAGUGGUGCUUGCACCAUGGUAACCAUGGCGGACGGGUGAGUAACGCGUAAGGAACUUGCCUGCGGGACCGGGAUAACAGCAGGAAACUGCUGACAAGACCGGAUAAGGUCAUUAAGCCGCAUAGCUUGGUGAUGAAAGGAGACGCCUGCGGAGAGCCUUGCGUCCUAUUAGCUAGUUGGAGGGGUAACGGCCCACCAAGGCGAAGAUAGGUAGCCGGCCUGAGAGGGUGGACGGCCACAAGGGGACUGAGAUACGGCCCUUACUCCUACGGGAGGCAGCAGUGGGAAUAUUGGACAAUGGGGGCAACCCUGAUCCAGCAAUUCUGUGUGCACGAAGACGGUUUUCGGAUUGUAAAGUGCUUUCAGCAGGGAAGAAGGAAGUGACGGUACCUGCAGAAGAAGCGACGGCUAAAUACGUGCCAGCAGCCGCGGUAAUACGUAUGUCGCGAGCGUUAUCCGGAAUUAUUGGGCAUAAAGGGCAUCUGGGCGGCCUUUCAAGUCAGGGGUGAAAACCUGCGGCUCAACCGCAGGCCUGCCUUUGAAACUGAUAGGCUGGAGUACCGGAGAGGUGGACGGAACUGCACGAGUAGAGGUGAAAAUUCGUAGAUAUGUGCAGGAA